GUGCCAGCCGCCGCGGUAAUACGGAGGGUGCAAGCGUUGUCCGGAUUUAUUGGGUUUAAAGGGUGCGUAGGCGGCCCAUUAAGUCAGCGGUGAAAUCCCACGGCUCAACCGUGGAACUGCCGUUGAUACUGGUGGGCUUGAGUAAAGUCGAGGCGGGCGGAACUGGUGGUGUAGCGGUGAAAUGCAUAGAUACCACCAAGAACCCCGAUUGCGUAGGCAGCUCGCUAGGCUUUAACUGACGCUGAGGCACGAAAGCGUGGGGAGCGAACAGGAUUAGAAACCCGUGUAGUCC
Molecule: ribosomal RNA, 292 nt
Filed under: uncultured bacterium
Lineage: Bacteria
Description: partial 16S ribosomal RNA
Rfam family: Bacterial small subunit ribosomal RNA
Source: RNAcentral